This 441-nucleotide ribosomal RNA is filed under the name uncultured Anaerolineae bacterium. Its description in RNAcentral is "partial 16S ribosomal RNA". It matches the Rfam family "Bacterial small subunit ribosomal RNA", at positions 338 to 794 of the family's 1533-position model. The record is from RNAcentral. Lineage: Bacteria; Bacillati; Chloroflexota; Anaerolineae.
CCUACGGGAGGCAGCAGUAAGGAAUAUUGGGCAAUGGGCGAAAGCCUGACCCAGCAACGCCGCGUGAGGGACGAAGGCCUUCGGGUUGUAAACCUCUUUUCUGGGGGACGAGACCAGGACGGUACCUCAGGAAUAAGUCUCGGCUAACUACGUGCCAGCAGCCGCGGUAAGACGUAGGAGGCGAGCGUUAUCCGGAUUUACUGGGCGUAAAGCGCACGCAGGCGGCUUCGUUAGUCGGAUGUGAAAGCUCCUGGCUUAACUGGGAAAGGUCGUUCGAUACUGCUGAACUUGAGGUUGGGAGAGGGGUGUGAAAUUCCCGGUGUAGUGGUGGAAUGCGUAGAGAUCGGGAGGAACACCAGUGGCGAAGGCGGCCCCCGGGCCCACACCUGACGCUGAGGUGCGAAAGCGUGGGGAGCAAGCAGGAUUAGAUAGCCCUGUAGU